RNAcentral lists this RNase P RNA (389 nucleotides) under Candidatus Aminicenantota bacterium. Its description in RNAcentral is "Candidatus Aminicenantes bacterium RNase P RNA component class A". It matches the Rfam family "Bacterial RNase P class A". Rfam says of the family: Ribonuclease P (RNase P) is a ubiquitous endoribonuclease, found in archaea, bacteria and eukarya as well as chloroplasts and mitochondria. Its best characterised activity is the generation of mature 5'-ends of tRNAs by cleaving the 5'-leader elements of precursor-tRNAs. The record is from RNAcentral. Lineage: Bacteria; Candidatus Aminicenantota.
GGAGUAGGCGAGGUGGUUGCUCCUUCUUCUCUUCAUGAGGAUGAAGGGGAGGAAAGUCCGAACUCCACAGGGCAGGAUGGUCGCUAACAGCGACUCCGAGCGAUCGGAGGAAAGUGCCACAGAAAACAUACCGCCCUAUAAGAAGGCAAUUUUGCCUGUUUUGCAGGGUAAGGGUGAAAAGGUGAGGUAAGAGCUCACCGUUCUGGUGGUGACAUCAGAAGCAUGGUAAACCCCAUCUGGAGCAAGACCAAAUUGGCCCCGUUUGAGACGGCCCGUCUACAGGGGCGGGUAGGUCGCUUAUCCCUUUGAGCAAUCAAGGGGUUAGAUAAAUAACCACCCCCGCCAAUGCCUUAGCGGGAACAGAAUUCGGCUUACGACCUACUCCAGCC